Molecule: ribosomal RNA, 253 nt
Filed under: uncultured bacterium
Lineage: Bacteria
Description: partial 16S ribosomal RNA
Rfam family: Bacterial small subunit ribosomal RNA
Source: RNAcentral
UACAGAGGGUGCAAGCGUUAAUCGGAGUUACUGGGCGUAAAGGGCGCGUAGGCGGAUGAUUAAGUGGGAUGUGAAAGCCCCGGGCUUAACCUGGGAAGUGCAUACCAAACUGGUGAUCUGGAAUAUAGGAGAGGGUGGCGGAAUUUCCGGUGUAGCGGUGAAAUGCGUAGAGAUCGGAAGGAACGCCAGUGGCGAAGGCGGCCACCUGGCCUAAUAUUGACGCUGAGGCGCGAAAGCGUGGGGAGCGAACAGG